CUACGGGAGGCAGCAGUAGGGAAUCUUCGGCAAUGGACGAAAGUCUGACCGAGCAACGCCGCGUGAGUGAAGAAGGUUUUCGGAUCGUAAAACUCUGUUGUUAGAGAAGAACAAGGAUGAGAGUAAAAUGUUCAUCCCUUGACGGUAUCUAACCAGAAAGCCACGGCCAACUACGUGCCAGCAGCCGCGGUAAUACGUAGGUGGCAAGCGUUGUCCGGAUUUAUUGGGCGUAAAGCGAGCGCAGGCGGUUUCUUAAGUCUGAUGUGAAAGCCCCCGGCUCAACCGGGGAGGGUCAUUGGAAACUGGGAGACUUGAGUGCAGAAGAGGGGAGUGGAAUUCCAUGUGUAGCGGUGAAAUGCGUAGAUAUAUGGAGGAACACCAGUGGCGAAGGCGGCUCUCUGGUCCGUAACUGACGCUGAGGCUCGAAAGCGUGGGGAGCGAACAGGAUUAGAUACCCUGGUAGUCCACGCCGUAAACGAUGAGUGCUAAGUGUUGGAGGGUUUCCGCCCUUCAGUGCUGCAGCAAACGCAUUAAGCACUCCGCCUGGGGAGUACGACCGCAAGGUUGAAACAUCAAAGGAGAGCUCCCAACGCGUUGGAUGCAUAGCUUGAGUAUUCUAUAGUGCCCCACAAAAAAAAA
This 639-nucleotide ribosomal RNA is filed under the name uncultured Enterococcus sp. RNAcentral describes it as "bacterial SSU rRNA". It matches the Rfam family "Bacterial small subunit ribosomal RNA", at positions 339 to 1407 of the family's 1533-position model. The record is from RNAcentral. Lineage: Bacteria; Bacillati; Bacillota; Bacilli; Lactobacillales; Enterococcaceae.